Molecule: long non-coding RNA, 1335 nt
Organism: Scylla paramamosain (green mud crab)
Lineage: Eukaryota; Metazoa; Arthropoda; Malacostraca; Decapoda; Portunidae
Exons: 3
Source: RefSeq, a predicted model, not a curated record
UGUGUGCGAUGAGGAACAGUGACAGAUGGCGCUGUAGAGAUUGGGCGGACAGCGGGCAAUGUUUUGGUCAGCACUGUUCAGUCUUGUCCCACACGUUCUAUUAACUAGUGUUUCCGUAUUCCUGGUAACUUUUCCCUGCACCGAGCACCGCCAAGCAUCACCAGAGAGGCACGAGUAAGAGUACGUAAGGUAUUGGACGGACCAGAGCAUGACACUGAAGGGAAGGAGGACCUAGCAAGCAAUAAAAAGCAGAAGACAUCACAAGAAGAAUAAUAAUAUCAGGGUGUUUUGAGUUUUAGAUGUUUUUAGUGUGAUUUGCAUGUGUUUGGGUGAGUUUUGUGGGUAUUUUGAGGUGAUGCUGGGUGUUUUGAAUGUUUUUUGAUGAAUAAAAUAUGUUUUGGGUGUGUUUGGGUGAGUUUUGUGGUAUAUUUGGGUGUUGUGAGGUGUUUUAGGUGUGACUGGAUGAGCUUUCUUAUAUUUAGGGGUGUUCUGAGUGUGUUUUGAAUGUGUGGGUGAGUUUUGUUGUAUUUAAGGAUGUUUUGAGUGUGUUUUGGGGUGUUUUAAGUGCAGUUUGGAUGUGUUUGGGUGAGUUUUGCUGUAUUUGAGGAUAUUUUGAGUCCAGUUUGGGUGUGUUUGGAUGAGCUUUGUGAGUGUCUUCGGGUGUUUUGAGUGUGUUUUAGUGUAUUUUGACCACACAGCUCCCCAAUUACCCAAAUAAUGUAACUUAAACACUACAACCUCACCAGAUCUUACCGUAACAUAUACAGGAUAACCUUAUCAAGUCUAUUAUACCCACAAGGACUUGCCACACUCCAGACACUGUGCAGACAUCCCACAAGACCUCUUCAUUGACACUCAAGUCCAACAACUUCCUUGCCUCUGCACUGACCAGUAUCUUUGCCAACACUGAGGACAGCACCGCCCGCCUGCCGCCUCCCUUGGUCCUCAAGGCUCGUCGCUUCAAGGACCAUCUCUCUGCCAAGGUCGAGUGGGAUCUGACACUUGGAGACGAGGGGGAGUACACGCCGUUGGUGGUCGACGUGACAAAGUGUGGGAGGUGUUUGGGAGUGUGUUAGGAGGAAGGGGAUGGUGUUCUAGAAAGGGGAAUGUUUGUUUGUUUAUUUGUUUGUGUGUGUGUGUGUGUGUGUGUGUGUGUGUGAUUUUUUUUUUAUUUUUUCUCCUCAUAUUUUUUUCUUGCUCUUCUUUCUUCUUCCCAUUCUUUGUGUGUGUGUGUGUGUGUGUGUGUGUGUGUGUGUUUUGUAAAGAGAGAGGGAUAUGAGAUGCUAUUGUCCAUCUUCAAAUAUAUCAGCUUGAAGAAAGUCCUGUGGAACAUGA